Molecule: long non-coding RNA, 250 nt
Filed under: Elaeis guineensis (African oil palm)
Lineage: Eukaryota; Viridiplantae; Streptophyta; Magnoliopsida; Arecales; Arecaceae
Description: long non-coding RNA (EGUI_LNC071436)
Source: RNAcentral
UGAAUCGAAUCAUGUCUAACACAGUUUGAUUCCUCUUUUCAUACACCCUUUUAAAUAGUGGUAUCCUAAGAGAGGUCCAUUGAGAGAGAAUCUAAUUUUUUUUAAGAUAUGUCAAACAAAAAUUUACUGUAAAGGUAUUCACUUCAUCAGUCUAACUGAUGAAUUUUAAUACUCUUUGUAGUUUAUUUUUCUACCUCAUUACAGAAUUGUUUGAACAUUUUAAUCGAUUCAGACUUGUGCUUCAUAAGCA